GUGAGGCCGUGUACACUGGCUGUGCCUGUCGGCUGUGACCCGGCAGAAGGAGUUCGAAUCUCCACCUCACACCA
RNAcentral lists this transfer RNA (74 nucleotides) under compost metagenome. RNAcentral's name for it is "tRNA-His". The record is from RNAcentral.